GUCUCGACUGGUCCAUUCCCGGCCCACCCCCAUUAACCGGCUCGAGCCACUCCCAGGACGAAGUCAAGGCCUCGGAAGGCGACUACAACUCCCAGCAGGUCGAGCAGCUCCGCCCGCGCUGAUUCUCCAUUGGCCUUCCGGGGGUGGGGAUUAGAUGGGAGGUGGCCGUGGGGCUGCGGCCGGGAUUUGUCCCCUCUUCGGCUUCCGUAGAGGAAGUGGCGCGGACCUUCAUUUGGGGUUUCGGUUCCCCCCCUUCCCCUUCCCCGGGGUCUGGGGGUGACAUUGCACCGCGCCCCUCGUGGGGUCGCGUUGCCACCCCACGCGGACUCCCCAGCUGGCGCGCCCCUCCCAUUUGCCUGUCCUGGUCAGGCCCCCACCCCCCUUCCCACCUGACCAGCCAUGGGGGCUGCGGUGUUUUUCGGCUGCACUUUCGUCGCGUUCGGCCCGGCCUUCGCGCUUUUCUUGAUCACUGUGGCUGGGGACCCGCUUCGCGUUAUCAUCCUGGUCGCAGGGGCAUUUUUCUGGCUGGUCUCCCUGCUCCUGGCCUCUGUGGUCUGGUUCAUCUUGGUCCAUGUGACCGACCGGUCAGAUGCCCGGCUCCAGUACGGCCUCCUGAUUUUUGGUGCUGCUGUCUCUGUCCUUCUACAGGAGGUGUUCCGCUUUGCCUACUACAAGCUGCUUAAUUUCUGGUCUCUCCUUCGGUAUCAUCAGUGGUGUCUUCUCUGUUAUCAAUAUUUUGGCUGAUGCACUUGGGCCAGGUGUGGUUGGGAUCCAUGGAGACUCACCCUAUUACUUCCUGACUUCAGCCUUUCUGACAGCAGCCAUUAUCCUGCUCCAUACCUUUUGGGGAGUUGUGUUCUUUGAUGCCUGUGAGAGGAGACGGUACUGGGCUUUGGGCCUGGUGGUUGGGAGUCACCUACUGACAUCGGGACUGACAUUCCUGAACCCCUGGUAUGAGGCCAGCCUGCUGCCCAUCUAUGCAGUCACUGUUUCCAUGGGGCUCUGGGCCUUCAUCACAGCUGGAGGGUCCCUCCGAAGUAUUCAGCGCAGCCUCUUGUGUAAGGACUGACUACCUGGACUGAUCGCCUGACAGAUCCCACCUGCCUGUCCACUGCCCAUGACUGAGCCCAGCCCCAGCCCGGGUCCAUUGCCCACAUUCUCUGUCUCCUUCUCGUCGGUCUACCCCACUACCUCCAGGGUUUUGCUUUGUCCUUUUGUGACCGUUAGUCUCUAAGCUUUACCAGGAGCAGCCUGGGUUCAGCCAGUCAGUGACUGGUGGGUUUGAAUCUGCACUUAUCCCCACCACCUGGGGACCCCCUUGUUGUGUCCAGGACUCCCCCUGUGUCAGUGCUCUGCUCUCACCCUGCCCAAGACUCACCUCCCUUCCCCUCUGCAGGCCGACGGCAGGAGGACAGUCGGGUGAUGGUGUAUUCUGCCCUGCGCAUCCCACCCGAGGACUGAGGGAACCUAGGGGGGACCCCUGGGCCUGGGGUGCCCUCCUGAUGUCCUCGCCCUGUAUUUCUCCAUCUCCAGUUCUGGACAGUGCAGGUUGCCAAGAAAAGGGACCUAGUUUAGCCAUUGCCCUGGAGAUGAAAUUAAUGGAGGCUCAAGGAUAGAUGAGCUCUGAGUUUCUCAGUACUCCCUCAAGACUGGACAUCUUGGUCUUUUUCUCAGGCCUGAGGGGGAACCAUUUUUGGUGUGAUAAAUACCCUAAACUGCCUUUUUUUCUUUUUUGAGGUGGGGGGAGGGAGGAGGUAUAUUGGAACUCUUCUAACCUCCUUGGGCUAUAUUUUCUCUCCUCGAGUUGCUCCUCAUGGCUGGGCUCAUUUCGGUCCCUUUCUCCUUGGUCCCAGACCUUGGGGGAAAGGAAGGAAGUGCAUGUUUGGGAACUGGCAUUACUGGAACUAAUGGUUUUAACCUCCUUAACCACCAGCAUCCCUCCUCUCCCCAAGGUGAAGUGGAGGGUGCUGUGGUGAGCUGGCCACUCCAGAGCUGCAGUGCCACUGGAGGAGUCAGACUACCAUGACAUCGUAGGGAAGGAGGGGAGAUUUUUUUGUAGUUUUUAAUUGGGGUGUGGGAGGGGCGGGGAGGUUUUCUAUAAACUGUAUCAUUUUCUGCUGAGGGUGGAGUGUCCCAUCCUUUUAAUCAAGGUGAUUGUGAUUUUGACUAAUAAAAAAGAAUUUGUAAUUGUG
This 2192-nucleotide long non-coding RNA is filed under the name Homo sapiens (human). RNAcentral's name for it is "non-protein coding lnc-APH1A-1:3". Lineage: Eukaryota; Metazoa; Chordata; Mammalia; Primates; Hominidae. The record is from RNAcentral.